This 1021-nucleotide long non-coding RNA is filed under the name Vulpes vulpes (red fox). Its description in RNAcentral is "lncRNA (ENSVVUG00000014239.1)". The record is from RNAcentral. Lineage: Eukaryota; Metazoa; Chordata; Mammalia; Carnivora; Canidae.
GCAAAGUGGCCACCCAGGGACGCCUGGCACAGGGACAAUGCCACCUGCAUAAAGAAAAACACAGUGUUUUAUGAGACAAAUACAUCAAUUAUUUCCAGGAAUGUGUACAACAUGCUACACUAAGUAAAACAAUAUGAUUCAGAUUUGAAGAAAAUGAGCCAGAGUGGCCAUAAAGGACAAAAAAUAUUGCCUGGAGAAGUUACUUGAUUAGCCUUUUAUUCAUUGGCUCAUGAUUCAACAAAGGUCACUCAUCACUGGCUAGGACCUCCCCUAAAAGCCUACUCAUACUAGCUCCUCACUUAAAUUGUCAUGUGGGAUGACUGGUAAUCCUAAAUUCCCAUCUCAGAGAUUCUAAUGAGCUGAAAUUGAAAAUGAUUAUCCUAUUAAUUACAGUGUAAGCAUUCAUGGAAGUAGUGACAACCUGAGCCUAAAUGAAAUUGGAUGUCAAGAACUAAUGUGUACCUCUCCAGAAACAACUCAGAUGGCAAAUUUCUUUAAACAUAAGUAUGAAGACCCUACAGAGUCCUAAUCAAGAUUUCUUUAACCAGGUUACUAGACUGACAAGGAACCUCAGUCCAGAUCCAGAUGGAGAGAACUGCCACUCAUUGAGAGACCCUGAUUUUGAGAUGGGCAUUUUGGUGGUUUCCCUGGAAGAGGGAGUGGGUGUGCUCUGCCAAGGGUGUGCUCUGCCAACAGUACCAUUUGGAGCUCCAAAGGGAGAAUGUGGUGCUACAGCUUCAGUUCUUCACCAAUGAUUUUCUUUCAUCCAGUGUAUAUAGCUCAGGUCUCCUUCCCAGAGGCCCUGGCUGUGACAGGUGGCCAUCUGAAUCAGCUCCUGCACACAGAACAUGAACAGGAGGACUGACAUGUAACAUCUCAUAUGUAUGUUACUCCAAAGACUUUUCUGGCUUUUGCUAGACAGAGACUAGCUUCACUGGAAGCCAUGGAUUAAAAGUAGCAGAGUCACAUGCUGGAAGGAGCAUGGGUACUUGGAUCACAAAUAAAGAGCCAUCACUGGUCA